UUAGUAGAGAAGCGUGUGAGCCAGCUGCCAAGAAAAGCCGCUGUUGUUUCAUAAGUACCCGUACCGUAAACCGACACAGGUGGAUGAGGAGAGAAUCCUAAGGCCGGCGGGAGAAGUGUUGUUAAGGAACUCGGCAAAAUGACUCCGUAACUUCGGGAGAAGGAGUGCCACAGAGAUGUGGCCGCAGAGAAAUGGCCCAAGCAACUGUUUAGCAAAAACACAGGUCUAUGCAAAACCGAAAGGUGAGGUAUAUGGGCUGACGCCUGCCCGGUGCUGGAAGGUUAAGAGGAGAGGUUAGAGCAAUCGAAGCUUUGAAUUUAAGCCCCAGUAAACGGCGGCCGUAACAAUAACGGUCCUAAGGUAGCGAAAUUCCUUGUCGGGUAUUUCCGACCCGCACGAAAGGCGUAAUGAUUUGGGCACUGUCUCAACAACACACCCGGUGAAAUUGAAAUACCAGUGAAGAUGCUGGUUACCUGCGCCAGGACGGAAAGACCCCAUGGAGCUUUACUCCAGUUUGAUACUGGGAUUCGGUACUGUCUGUACAGGAUAGGUGGGAGGCUAGGAAAUGGUGACGCCAGUUGCCAUGGAGCCAACCUUGGGAUACCACCCUUACAGUACAGGGUUUCUAACCUGCAGCCGUAACCCGGCUGGGGGACAAUGUCUGACGGGGAGUUUGACUGGGGCGGUCGCCUCCGAAAGAGUAUCGGAGGCGCUCAAAGGUUCCCUCAGAACGGUUGGAAACCGUUCGAAGAGUGCAAAGGCAGAAGGGAGCUUGACUGCGACACCGACGGGUGGAGCAGAUACGAAAGUAGGACUUAGUGAUCCGGUGGUAUAAAGUGGGAUUGCCAUCGCUCAACGGAUAAAAGCUACCCUGGGAUAACAGGCUUAUCGCUCCCAAGAGUUCACAUCGACGGAGUGGUUUGGCACCUCGAUGUCGGCUCAUCGCAUCCUGGAGCUGUAGCAGGUUCCAAGGGUUGGGCUGUUCGCCCAUUAAAGCGGUACGCGAGCUGGGUUCAGAACGUCGUGAGACAGUUCGGUCCCUAUCCGGCGUGGGCGUAGGAUAUUUGAGAGGAGCUGUCCUUAGUACGAGAGGACCGGGAUGGACAAGCCUCUGGUGUAUCUGUUGUUUACCAAAGGCAUGGCAGAGUAGCCAAGUUUGGCAGGGAUAAACGCUGAAGGCAUCUAAGCGUGAAGCCCCCCUCAAGAUAAGAUAUCCCAUCUUCGGAGUAAGACCCCUUGAAGACUACAAGGUUGAUAGGCUUCAGGUGUAAGUGUGGUAACGCACUCAGCUGAGAAGUACUAAUAGGUCGAGGACUUAUC
Molecule: ribosomal RNA, 1320 nt
Filed under: metagenome
Description: bacterial LSU rRNA
Rfam family: Bacterial large subunit ribosomal RNA
Source: RNAcentral